RNAcentral lists this ribosomal RNA (451 nucleotides) under uncultured bacterium. RNAcentral describes it as "partial 16S ribosomal RNA". It matches the Rfam family "Bacterial small subunit ribosomal RNA", at positions 354 to 796 of the family's 1533-position model. The record is from RNAcentral.
GUGGGGAAUAUUGGACAAUGGGGGGAACCCUGAUCCAGCCAUGCCGCGUGUGUGAAGAAGGCCUUUUGGUUGUAAAGCACUUUAAGCGAGGAGGAGGCUACCGAGAUUAAUACUCUUGGAUAGUGGACGUUACUCGCAGAAUAAGCACCGGCUAACUCUGUGCCAGCAGCCGCGGUAAUACAGAGGGUGCAAGCGUUAAUCGGCUUUACUGGGCGUAAAGCGCGCGUAGGUGGCCAAUUAAGUCAAAUGUGAAAUCCCCGAGCUUAACUUGGGAAUUGCAUUCGAUACUGGUUGGCUAGAGUAUGGGAGAGGAUGGUAGAAUUCCAGGUGUAGCGGUGAAAUGCGUAGAGAUCUGGAGGAAUACCGAUGGCGAAGGCAGCCAUCUGGCCUAAUACUGACACUGAGGUGCGAAAGCAUGGGGAGCAAACAGGAUUAGAAACCCCAGUAGUCC